Molecule: RNA transcript, 1893 nt
Organism: Cylas formicarius (sweet potato weevil)
Lineage: Eukaryota; Metazoa; Arthropoda; Insecta; Coleoptera; Brentidae
Gene name: odorant receptor 49b-like
Exons: 8
Source: RefSeq, a predicted model, not a curated record
UCCUUCAUCGUCUGCGAGGCAAACAUGAACCAGAACGGCGGGUAUUUUACUUACAUGCAGUGGUGGAUGAUGAUGAUUGGAAUCUGGAGGAUCGACACUCAAGAUCAUCCCAGUUAUAAGAAAAAGUUUCACAAAGUGUACUCGUUAGUAAUCCAAACCCUUGCCUCUUCGCCGACCCUUUCUUUCGCAAUUGCGGUGCCUGGAUUACUGAAAACAGAUAUGACAACGGCAAUCUACAACAUCGGCAUCAUAAUAAUGGUCGGCAUGAUAGUCGUUAAAAUGAUAAUGUGUCAGUCGAAAUCCGUUACCAAACUUCUGCAACUUGCGCUACAGCUCGACGAGCAAAUCAGAGCACAGAAGGAGCCAGAGAUGCAACUAAUAUACCGGCAGCAUGUAAAGUUCGAUGAUAAAUUGGUGACGUUGAUCGCUGUUUCUGGACUCAUCAUGGGAAUGUUCGUGGUGGUGUAUGGUGAUAUUGAAUGCUACGUAUUCUUCAAGGAGAACAAAGAAACCAACAUCACGGAGGUACCUGUAGUUGUAAACUAUUGGUAUCCUUUCGACAAGAAAAAAUACUAUACGUUCCUACUUAUUGAUCAAAACGUUCGACCUACUCUGUGCUGUAUAUGUAUCGGAGUAGUCAGUGCUUUCGUCAACUGCAUAAUUAUUUUCGUGCGGUUGCAACUGAAACUGCUGCAGUACAGUUUCAGGAACUUUCAUCGGUUUCCUUCGCACGGGGUCAGUUUGGAGGCCGCGAAGAAUACAUUACGGUUGUUGUGCGUCAGACACCAGCAGCUCAUCCAAUACGUGGAGGACCUCAACGAGUCUUUCAAAAAUAUUUUACUCCUGGAGUACAUAGUGUCCGGGGUUUUGUUGGCAGCAUUGAUUUUGCAAAUAACAGGGGGCAAUCAACGACUUUUAGUCUGUUUUGUUUUACUGGUAUCUGUGGUCCAAUUGCUUACGUUCGCAUGGAGCGCUAACGAAAUAAUUGUCCAGAGUGCGGAAUUGGCAAGAGCUCUUUUUGAAAGCAAAUGGUACGACCAAAAUACCCCUGCAAAAUUAAUGACGCAAAUCAUGAUGAUGAGGUGUCAGAAACCUCUAAGCCUAAGCAUCGGUCCAUUUGGAGUUAUGGACUUGAACGUCGGAUUAUCGAGGCUCAAACUUGGGUAUUCGUAUACAUCUCUGAUGACAAAUGGAGAUUGAUAAAUUAGUUAUUCGAAAAUGCAACAUUUCAAACAUUUUCGAACCCUGUAUUAAGUUGCGAAAAUGUUGUGGAUUCAUUUUGUUUUGGGGUGAUUUGCGAUGGUAGCGUCGUUAAAACCCACAAGAACGAUAUUCGUCUUAAAUUUCCCUUUAUAAUAUCUACACGACUUUUCUGCGGCAAUCCGGGACCAUAAACAAGUCGAUUCGCUUUCGCACUCACCUUAUCGAUACCGAAACCCGUGGGACCCGGAGGCAGUGCGAGGGAGGUGCCCGUCCCUCAUCGAGGUAUAUACAAAUCGAUAGUUUCGAACUGCGUUUUACGAACCAUAAAAUUGCCUUGGAAUGUGGAAAAAGGUAUAAGCAUGGUUACGUACUCCAUAACCUAGCAUCGUGUGGUCGUUAAAAGUAUACAACUUGCACCUGCCUACAGAGAGGCGGUUUUCCGUCAAUUUUACGACUUUUCUCGAUAAGUUCAUAAAAAUUAGUAUCUCAGGCGUGCUAUUUGACAUCGGCUAAGAGAGAGGGAGGGUGCGUAAAAUAGUCAUUUGCGAUAAAUGAAGUCAACAAAACUUCCAUUAUACAUAUGCUUUACAUUGGUCAUUUUAGAGAAUCUGCAAGAGUCUUGGACCAAUUGUCAAUUUUGCGGUGCUACGCUGUUGUCAUUCUUUAAAGUAAAAUAAACAUCUCAAAAAA